GAUGAACGCUAGCGGCAGGCCUAAUACAUGCAAGUCGGACGGGAUUCAGGAGCUUGCUUCUGAUGAGAGUGGCGCACGGGUGCGUAACACGUAUGUAACCUACCUUUAUCAGGGGGAUAGCCUCUCGAAAGAGAGAUUAAGCCCGCAUAAAAUCACAGCACAGCAUUGUGUAAUGAUCAAAUAUUUAUAGGAUAAAGAUGGGCAUGCGGAACAUUAGCUAGAUGGCGGGGUAACGGCCCACCAUGGCGACGAUGUUUAGGGGAUCUGAGAGGAUGGCCCCCCACACUGGUACUGAGACACGGACCAGACUCCUACGGGAGGCAGCAGUAAGGAAUAUUGGUCAAUGGGCGGAAGCCUGAACCAGCCAUGCCGCGUGCAGGAAGACGGCCCUACGGGUUGUAAACUGCUUUUAUACGGGAUUAAACCCAGAUACGUGUAUCUGGCUGAAUGUACUGUAAGAAUAAGGAUCGGCUAACUCCGUG
Molecule: ribosomal RNA, 482 nt
Filed under: uncultured bacterium
Lineage: Bacteria
Description: partial 16S ribosomal RNA
Rfam family: Bacterial small subunit ribosomal RNA
Source: RNAcentral